AAGGUUUUAAGUUAAUUUAAACUUUUAGCCUUCAAAGCUUACAAUAGAUUCCUUAAUCUAAACCUUA
This 67-nucleotide transfer RNA is filed under the name Deflorita sp. ZJZ-2017. RNAcentral's name for it is "tRNA-Trp". The record is from RNAcentral. Lineage: Eukaryota; Metazoa; Arthropoda; Insecta; Orthoptera; Tettigoniidae.